This 256-nucleotide unclassified non-coding RNA is filed under the name Hevea brasiliensis (rubber tree). The record is from RNAcentral. Lineage: Eukaryota; Viridiplantae; Streptophyta; Magnoliopsida; Malpighiales; Euphorbiaceae.
CUUCAUCAGCAGAUGGGUAAAAAGAAGGCACACUUGAAGAAGAUAAUUAAAGAAGUAGAUGAAAGCAAGGAAGUGGAAGUUGGGGGCCUUGAGCAGGUUGCAAUGAACAGGCUUGUUGAAUUGGCUUACAAAAAGCUGCUGGCCACUCGAGGAAGUUGUGCUUCAAAAUUUGGUGUUCCUAAAGUUUCAAAACAAGUUGCCCUGGCUUUUAUGAAUAGAACUCUUACUAGAUGUAGGAAAUUUGAAGAUGCUGGCC